AGCUUGCUACUUACGAGUGGCGGACGGGUGAGUAACGUAUGGGAAUUUACCGAAUGGAGGGGGACAACAGUUGGAAACGGCUGCUAAUACCGCAUAACGUCGAGAGACCAAAGGGUUUCGACUCGCCAUUUGAUGAGCCCAUAUGAGAUUAGCUAGUUGGUGUGGUAAUGGCUCACCAAGGCGACGAUCUCUAGCUGGUUUGAGAGGAUGACCAGCCACACUGGGACUGAGACACGGCCCAGACUCCUACGGGAGGCAGCAGUGGGGAAUAUUGCACAAU
RNAcentral lists this ribosomal RNA (280 nucleotides) under uncultured Enterobacteriaceae bacterium. RNAcentral's name for it is "partial 16S ribosomal RNA". It matches the Rfam family "Bacterial small subunit ribosomal RNA", at positions 77 to 372 of the family's 1533-position model. Lineage: Bacteria; Pseudomonadati; Pseudomonadota; Gammaproteobacteria; Enterobacterales; Enterobacteriaceae. The record is from RNAcentral.